AUACGGAGGGAGCAAGCGUUAUUCGGAAUCACUGGGCGUAAAGGACGCGUAGGCGGGUUUGUAAGUCAGGUGUGAAAUCCUACAGCUCAACUGUAGAACUGCACUUGAAACUACAGACCUAGAGUAUGGAAGGGGCAGAUGGAAUUAGUGGUGUAGGGGUAAAAUCCGUAGAUAUCCCUAGGAAUACCGAAAGCGAAGGCGAUCUGCUGGGACAUUACUGACGCUGAGGCGUGAAAGCGUGGGGAGCAAACAGGAUUAGAAACCCUAGUAGUCC
RNAcentral lists this ribosomal RNA (274 nucleotides) under uncultured bacterium. RNAcentral describes it as "partial 16S ribosomal RNA". It matches the Rfam family "Bacterial small subunit ribosomal RNA", at positions 523 to 796 of the family's 1533-position model. The record is from RNAcentral.